UAGCAUAUCAAUAAGCGGAGGAAAAGAAACCAACAGGGAUUGCCCCAGUAACGGCGAGUGAAGCGGCAACAGCUCAAAUUUGAAAUCUGGCCCCUCGGGCCCGAGUUGUAAUUUGUAGAGGAUGCUUUUGGCAAGGUGCCGCCCGAGUUCCCUGGAACGGGACGCCGCAGAGGGUGAGAGCCCCGUCUGGCUGGCCGCCGAGCCUCUGUAAAGCUCCUUCGACGAGUCGAGUAGUUUGGGAAUGCUGCUCAAAAUGGGAGGUAUAUGUCUUCUAAAGCUAAAUAUUGGCCAGAGACCGAUAGCGCACAAGUAGAGUGAUCGAAAGAUGAAAAGCACUUUGAAAAGAGGGUUAAACAGUACGUGAAAUUGUUGAAAGGGAAGCGCUCAUGACCAGACUUGGGCUUGGCGGAUCAUCCGGCGUUCUCGCCGGUGCACUUCGCCUCGCCCAGGCCAGCAUCAGUUCGCGCCGGGGGACAAAAGCUUCGGGAAUGUGGCUCCUCCGGGAGUGUUAUAGCCCGUUGCAUAAUACCCUGGGGCGGACUGAGGUUCGCGCAUCUGCAAGGAUGCUGGCGUAAUGGUCAUCAGCGACCCGUCUUGAAACACGGACCAAGGAGUCGUCUUCGUAUGCGAGUGUUCGGGUGUCAAACCCCUACGCGUAAUGAAAGUGAACGCAGGUGAGAGCUUCGGCGCAUCAUCGACCGAUCCUGAUGUUCUCGGAUGGAUUUGAGUAAGAGCAUACGGGGCCGGACCCGAAAGAAGGUGAACUAUGCCUGUAUAGGGUGAAGCCAGAGGAAACUCUGGUGGAGGCUCGCAGCGGUUCUGACGUGCAAAUCGAUCGUCAAAUAUGGGCAUGGGGGGCGAAAGACUAAUCGAACCUUCUAGUAGCUGGUUUCCGCCGAU
This 900-nucleotide ribosomal RNA is filed under the name Cladobotryum indoafrum. RNAcentral's name for it is "LSU rRNA". It matches the Rfam family "Eukaryotic large subunit ribosomal RNA", at positions 36 to 965 of the family's 3401-position model. Lineage: Eukaryota; Fungi; Ascomycota; Sordariomycetes; Hypocreales; Hypocreaceae. The record is from RNAcentral.